UCCUCUCCGCGCCGCUUCGCGAGCUGAGGGCAGGCCGGAGGAUCCUGGGCGACAGCCGCACCGAUGAUGGGAUUUAUUAUGGGCUGCACGUGUUUCAAAGGUACCAGCCUAUCGCAUCUGUUUCAAGGUAUGUGUAAUCCUCUCGAUCGUUUAUUACAGCUGCAUUAGUGCACUGCGGUUUGUUUCUGCAUCGGAAUUGUAAGUUGAUUAACAAGAUUACUUAUACGAAUGUAGAUUUUGUGAGUUCACAGUUUAAUGAACUAACAACACGUAUAAGAAAAGAAAAUAAUAGCGAUUGAAGCUACUGAAGCGAGUGAAGCAAUUAAAGCGUCAAUAACGCGUGAAUCAUCCUGUUAAACGUCUGUAUAGACGCUUUACGCGCGAAGUUGAGAAAAUAUAAGCAAUUAUUAGUUUUAUCGAAGGUGGUUUUAUUUAUGAAAAACUUGGUGAUUGUACAUUAAACUUUUUUUAUGUACCAGAUUUAAAUUAAACUUUUUGGAAAAAGUGUAUGUGAAAAAAGCUAUUAAAAUUUUUUCUUUUAAUUUUUGGAACUAAAGCUCGAUAAACAUUUUGUUGGCUUAUAUAAAGCUUUGAAAACGAAUGUUUCCCACAAAUUUUUUUAUUUUUGCUUAACUCGAUGAUGUUUAAUUCACAUGAAUCUAUUUCGACGUUAGUUAUUUUUAACCUUCUUAAGGCCAACGUUUAAUAUCGAUUUAAUAUUGCAAGGAUAGCAUUCUAUCUUUUUCCAACUGAACUUUACAUUGAUUUUGCUUUGAGCAGGCUUUUCAAUCGCAGCUUCCUCAUUCUUUUAUUAUCUUUUUUUUUCCCACAUUGGCACGUAAUCGGAACGCUUUGUCAAAUACAAGUAUGAUUGUAAAGAAAGUUUAGAUUCGUUUUGUUAUUAUCGACUGGUGUUUUCCAGUCUCUCUUUCAAAUGAAACAUGCCGCCAUCUCUCACGAAGAUUCUGAGUUGCUUGCUAGCGAUCAAUAAAACCUCGUGCAGAUUUACCAUAGUGAAAACUGAUGAAAAAUCAACAGAGAAUCUUAGAAAAAUAAAUGCUUAUUGCCAUCAUUUUUAACAUCGAGGAAACAAAUUUGAGAGCCGGAAUCGAAAUAAUUUUUUCGAAUUUGUAUCAUGAAGUGGAUAAAUUCUUCUGUCUUUCCACCGACAGCCGGUAAAGCUUUCUCUGCAAUCGAUUGUAGAGCGUCUAGUAUACCGCCAGUGGAUUCUAUCCCCGGGAUGUGGCGCCUCCAUUCCUGCCGCAAAUCUCUUGCGUUAUCAAACUAGUGUAGUAAAUAACGUGCCCUCCGCGUUAUCACCUGCAUGCUAAGUUAAAACUGCACAGAAAAAAAUUAGUAAUUAAAAAAUUUUUUUCUUUAUGUAAAGCAAAUUGUGUCUGUUCGAGAUUACAAAUUUUUCCAAGAAGAUUUUUUAUUCUUGCUUAUAUGAAACAAUGAAUUGUUAAUCUGAUACUAAUUUUUUUCUAUGUAUGUUAAUUAUAACAAUGAAUUAUUUAAAGUCAGGUUUUUAAUAGUAUUCACGAUAUUUACAUCUCUUACUACAAUAACGAGAUACAAACGUACUCUACACAAUUAUGCAAAUGAUUUUUGCGUAGCACAAGAUCACUGUUGUUUACAAACAAAUAUUCUAAAGUUAAUGUCGAAAAAUAGAAGAAAAUAUUUGUUUGUUAUUUAGAGCCCUACAAUCUAUAUUUUCCAUUAUAUGUUUUGUUGUUUUGUUAUUUGUAAUUAUCUUCUAGCUUCAGAAUGUGUAAAUUAUUCCAGACUAAAAAAAACUUUUUAAAUUUCUUUUUAAUUAAAACUCUUAUCAAGUUUGAAGUAAACAACAGUAGUUAAGGGUUAAAUUUAUCGCAAUUUUUGAAUAUUCAGUAUUUUAUUUUUACGGUUAUAUGUAGAAUUAAAAUUUAAAAAAAAAGAAACGUUUUUUCGAAAGAAGUGAGCAAGAGGUGUAUUAUCAAAUUUCCCUGCGAUAUAUUUAUUUUCGGAAAUGCGCUGCUACAUACGUUUCAAAUUCCUGCUCAUAUUCCCAAGGAGACUUUGUGGCGUUAGUAAUACGAUAGUGCUCCUCUAAUUAACUGUUUUAGUUGUUAAGCCGAGUCCGUUGACUCUGCGAUUAACGUAUCACGUAAUUAAAGCUUACCGAUUUACGUUAUCACAUUUCCUGCACGGACGCUUGCUUUAAGAAUGCAGAUCUCAGUGAGAAUUCGGAUUAUUUCCCGAUCGGAAAAAAAAGGUUUUGAAAAUUUGCGCUGUAUUAAUUAAUUAAUUAUUCCGCACUGAUUUCAAUCGCCUUUGACGGCAAUCGAUUUUAUCGACGCGAUAAAAUUUUUAAUUGGAAUUCGGCUGCUAUUCACAACCCUAUAUCUUUUCUUUUAUUCAAUGCCACUGCGUUCUCUAUAGUUUCAUAAUGGCGAUCUAUUGUAAGAUCCUCCCUUUGUGAUUGCGGUGCUUAAUGAUACUGCAAUUUUCAAGGGAAGUUCCGACAGUGACUCGCAUUUCCGUAGGCCGUCGCAAUCGCCAAACUCGAUAUCGCAGAAAAUUCGAGAAUAUGAGCGAAGAAAAAAAAGCGCACACUGAUUUUCUUCUCUUCAUCUGACACCGCGAUCUGUGAUGACCGCUCGUGCAGCGCAAUUAAGGCCGGGCCGUGAAUUCUUUCGUAAGAAACUGGGAAGAUCCGACAGUUCGAAUGCCCCAGUUUCAGAACUUUUUUUUUUUCCUCCCGUCGAACGUGGCGUUUAAUUAAAGCGUGUGUUAACGGCGACUACUCGUGUGAGAGAAAUUUUGUUGCACUCGUUUCGAGCAAUGAGUUCCUUCGCCGUCGUUUCGAGUAACAAUCCACGUAUGAUGCGAGUACUCUAAUGGCCGUCGGUGCGAUAUCGAAAUUGUUUCUAAUUAAACGAGGAGGCCUUGAAAUUUACCUUAGGUUUCUCCGCGAACCGUCCGCCGCGAAUUAAUCCCCCGGGAAUAAUGCGAAGAAUAAUUAAUUUUUAAUCCGCUGUAGCUGCAAACUUAGACACAUUUAUAUAUUUUAAAGUUUUUGUUAAAAAAAAAAUGAAUGACUGUUAUCUAUCUAUCGACGUAAUAUUAAUUAAAGCUACGUUCAAUUUUUAUAUAAAUAUGUGAUUAUCUAAAAUAACAUUAAAAUAUUGUAUUAUAACUCGGCGAUAUUUUUCAUCGUUUUAAUAGAUGAAUUUACAGCUAUUACUCGUAUUCGUAAAAUGAGAAAUUUGACAGGACAGUCUUCAUUAUCGUUAAUGACGUAUUUACGUCAUACUUUAUUGACGAAUGUAUUUCUUCCUUUCGUCGUUUUAAAUAAAUGACAAUCGAAUUAGCGAUCCAUUUCAAGUACUUUGGUAAAUCGAUACUCACAUGGUCUUCCAUUUCGCUUAAAACACUUCUGCAUUAAAUAAUAUUGCCAAUCGUGAUAUUAAUGCGCGAAGGAUACUAGGACGCGAUGAAAUGAAGCUUUCACAGUUUCAUGGGGAGCUUUCGAGCAACUGACUUCCACUACUUCUCUCGCUUGCUGACCUAAUUCGCCAUCGCGGCUCGCGAACAGAAUUAUUUAUCAAUACUAGUACAAUCGGUUUAGUACAUCAACUUUCGGCUAACGUCCAGUUGACCCUUAGAUCGGCCCUCAGGUACAUUGGAAGUAAAUUAUUCCUUCGGAAAUUACGACGGUUGACCAUUCAUCGUGAGCUCUCCAGAUGCUAUUGCUGGAGAAUUAUUACAGCCAUCGCCGUAUUGUGCAUGCUUCUUUUUUUAAAAAUAUUCUUUUCCUAUUUUUUUUUGUCUCUCCCUUUCUCUCUUUCCGCCAUUCUCUCGUUCGUUCUGUUUUCGACGGCAAUUCACGCCGCGAUUGCUCAAGCCACUUCAUUUCGCCGUUGUAGUUUCAAGAUCAUGUAUCGCCAGAUUUUAAAUGCUUUACGAAUGCGGGAGUCGUGCGCACUUGUCGUCCUUAACCCACAUCACGAGACGCGCUUUAUCUCGCACGUGGCGCCCUUCGAGCGUCAUGUUUCUCUCGGAAGCGCAAUCGAUGGCUACCAUCCCUCUGUAACCCUCGUUUCCCAAAUUUGCUUUUCGAAUUUCGACUGAUUCCGUAAUGUAAUCGAGAUUACGGAACGGAUUUGGCGUAUUUGGCUCUUUUCUUAACAUCCUCUUGCAAAGAGAAACAUAAACCGGAUCAUAGCGCAUGUUUUCUGUCAAAUAAAUAGGGCUGCACAGUGCGCAGUAUUUACACCUAUAUCCCAUAAUGGUCAAAUCGAAUUUACGCGUGUCAUUGCGUUCUAAUCGCUUCUACAUCCAUUUCUGUUAAAAUUCGCGAGCGACAGCCGAUACGCAAAACGAGAGCACCGCGCGGUAGCAGCGUUUUGUUUUUUUAAAUCAAGGCAAAUCUAUGUGUCAGAGAAUUUCAAACGGUAAAGGUAACCACGACGACGAACCACGGAUCAGUUUUCCGGAUUGUUGUUUCCCAAUGAGUGCCGUUCGUUACCGAUCAAAGUCGGCUAUCGGCGAGCUGGAAAAUUCUCUCUCUCUCUCUCUCUCUCUCUCUCUCUCUCUCUCUGUUGGAGCAAAAUAACCGCAAUGGUUACCACGACGAGAUCGAAUCUUUAUCCCUCUCAUCAUGGUCCAAAGCUUUCGCGACAAGAAAAGCAUACCUCUUCGUCGCAGCGCCGUUCUUCAGCGGUUUCCAACGAGCUUUGCCCGACAUUCUCCGGCCCGGGGCGAACCCGCGGCCCGAAUAAGGGAUGUGGCCUGUGUACCCCCAAGAGCGAAUGGAACGAGCUAUGCAGCCGACCGCGCGCAUUCGUGACCUCGAUGCAUUCAGCCUCGCCGAUCUCAUUCGCGGUUAAACGCUUAGCGCCCGGGGCACGACGGGUCGUCAGGAAGACUUUAAAAUGUUCUGGAAAAUCGCGCCGAACGCGCUACCCAUUAUCCGGUCAAAAAGCUUGGUCGGCUCUUUUUCUUCCGCCAACACCCGCAGGCACAUUUACUCUUUCCUCCUCUCCCCUUUUCAAGCGCGGUGAGUCUGCGUUGGAAGGAUUCGAAAGUUCCUCGGAGAGACCCGUUCUCGUAUCUUACUGCCAUCUCCGUUUUAACGUUUAGUUUUUCCUUUAAUCGCCCGGACAUGAAAUUUAACGAUAUCUAUCGAUAAGGAAACGUCGAAAGAAUCUAAAGAUAAUCGUUAUCUAAUAUCGGUCAUACUAAGGUAAGAAUUAAAUUUCUCCUACUUUGAGAUUAUGGCAGCUAUUCUCUUAUUAUUUCAUUAUCUGACUCGACCAUUUUUAAAAUAAAUUAGAAACGAGAUCGAGAGAAAAAGCAGAUCAUCAAUGCGCAAUGUCUUAAUAACGAAUCAAUAGGUCUCUGCGGAGACUAGUCCGCAGUCUUUACCGUUCGUUGCCUCUCUGCCGGACUUAGAAACCUAUUGCUAAGGUGCACUACUUUUUCACGAGCACCUCGAGAUUCAUCUGCUUUUCCGUUUUCGCUUUGGUCCAGAGUGGACGAUAAGAAAAAAAAAGGAGGAAAGGUAGAAGAAGUGGCGAAGAGCAGUAUGGCGCGGUGCAAUGACGUUCGGGAUUCUCGAAAGAAGACCGCCGCGCUGAUCGGAAACCACUUCACGGAGCGUUCCCUUGGAAAAGUAAAUGAGAGAAUCGCGUCGUAACGACGUGGAGGGAAUCUUGUGGCUUCUCGUUAUACGAGCGUGUAAUUGAUGCCUGUAAUCGAUGCGGGUGCUGGUCAUUAUGCGAUGGAAUGUGUAGAGCGCGUUCCGCAAUCACCGUAUAAUUUUUUUAAUAGCGUAUUC
Solenopsis invicta (red fire ant) is the source of this 5821-nucleotide long non-coding RNA. RefSeq lists it as uncharacterized. Lineage: Eukaryota; Metazoa; Arthropoda; Insecta; Hymenoptera; Formicidae. The record is from RefSeq and is a predicted model, not a curated record. The transcript is spliced from 2 exons.